AUACUCGCUGUUGGCGAUAUACUGUCAGCGGCUUAGCGAAAGCGUUAAGUAUCCCACCUGGGGAGUACGCCGGCAACGGUGAAACUCAAAGGAAUUGACGGGGGCCCGCACAAGCGGAGGAACAUGUGGUUUAAUUCGAUGAUACGCGAGGAACCUUACCCGGGCUUAAAUUGCAAAGGAAUAAUCUGGAAACAGAUUAGUCUUCGGGACCUUUGUGAAGGUGCUGCAUGGUUGUCGUCAGCUCGUGCCGUGAGGGGUCGGCUUAAGUGCCAUAACGAGCGCAACCCUCGCCGCCAGUUACUAGCAGUUAAAGCUGAGGACUCUGGCGGGACUGCCAUCGUAAGAUGUGAGGAAGGUGGGGAUGACGUCAAAUCAGCACGGCCCUUACGUCCGGGGCUACACACGUGUUACAAUGGGCGGUACAGAAGGCAGCUACCUGGCGACAGGAUCCAAUCCCUAAAGCCGCUCUCAGUUCGGACUGGAGUCUGCAACCCGACUCCACGAAGCUGGAUUCGCUAGUAAUCGCGCAUCAGCCACGGCGCGGUGAAUACGUUCCCGGGCCUUGUACACACCGCCCGUCAAGCCAUGAAAGCCGGGGGUACCUGAAGUGCGUAACCGCAAGGAGCGCCCUAGGGUAAAACCGGUAAUUGGGGCUAAGUCGUAACAAGGUAGCCGUACCGGAAGGUGCGGCUG
This 693-nucleotide ribosomal RNA is filed under the name human gut metagenome. Its description in RNAcentral is "bacterial SSU rRNA". It matches the Rfam family "Bacterial small subunit ribosomal RNA", at positions 813 to 1520 of the family's 1533-position model. The record is from RNAcentral.